AGAGCAGCCACUGGAGUCGGAGAAGGAGCUGGGAGCAGAGGGAGCUCCAGUCGGAGCCAACGUUGGAGCCAGGACUCCAGGGACCAGAACUUUUCUUGGGGCGAGUGUGGGCCCUGGGCCAGCCUCCCCUGGUCCCCGCCUACCUUUCAGCCUCAGGUCCCGACCCUCCCUCCUGGAGGCCACCGGUGUUACCCUCCCCAGCAGGGGAGAACAAACUUUCUUAGGGAAACCACCUCUGCUGCCUUGCUGGCCAGACAGAACCAACAGACAGCUGGACAGACAGAUGAACAGAUGGACAGGGCAUCUGCGAGGCUGUCCUCCCAGUCCUGCCUCUGACGGGCUGCAGCAGAGUGGGCAGCCGAGGGGCCUCCAGGGGCACCAGGGACAGCGAGGGCCCCUGCUGAACCUUUGUUCACCUGCCAGCCACCUCUGAGUCCAGGCGGCUGGACGCUGCUUCCCCAGGCCCACCCAGCACUGUGGCUGGAAGGCCGGUGGCUCAAGACAGCAGUUCCCACCAGCCAGAGCCACAGGCUCUUCCACCCACCGAGGCGACGGGGAACCUGAGUGAAAAGGCACAGGUGGCAGGUGGGCAGGUGCAGGGUCCUGAAGCCAACAGGCUACUGACCCUGGAGCACACUGGCUCGGGGACCCCUGCCCAGGCGAGGGACGAUGCUGCCGAGGCCACCACCAGCCACCCUUGCCCCGUCCUGGAGCUGCCUCCGGCCUGGCCCCUGGGCUGUGGAGUGGAGGAUGUGCCAGCCUUCUGCUUCGUCUGUUUCCACAGGGAGGAGGAGGAGGAGCUGCUGGAAGAGGUCCCACUGCAGAGGCCUCCCAGGGAUUGGAUGCUGAGGCCACCAAGAUGAACAUGACAUGGGCACGUCCCUGGAGGAGCCCAGCCAGGACCCCCUGGGACAGUGGCAGCAGGCAGUGCAACGAGCUGCGAUUGAGGUGUGAACACUGCGCCCUCAUCAUCGCGAGAUGAUGCAAGACACCACCCCUCGGGGAGCACAUCUGCAUUUGAUGACAGCUUGUCCGCUAAAGCAUCUUCCUAUUUGCUGCUUGAUGUGGAACUAAGGCGAGGCUCGCUGCCUUAACAAACAAGCCUGGACCCGCGUGGCCUCACAGGGCAGAGCCACCUGUGCUGCUCCUGCAAAGCCCAGAGGGGGCUGGAGACUGGGGGAGACUUCUCUACUCAGUCUUUGGGGGAUCCAGGCUCCUCCCACCCUGUGACACUGUCCUCACGUGGGGCCUCCCAGGAAUCCAUGGCUGGAUCCUCUCUCUGCUUCCACUGGCAGAUGAAGCAGAAAGAGGGUGUUGAUCACAUGAGAGGGUUUUCUUCUCUUCUACCCCCACUCCUUGGCCAGAGUCGCUAAUUGCAAGAGAUACUGGGAAACGUAGUCCUGUUGUGAAAAUGGUACAAAUUGGUAUCCGUGAGAGCACCUGGCACGGAGUUGGUGCCCAGCGUGUUUGUGAGGAAUGCGUCCGAGCAUUCUACGGAUGUCACCGAGCACCCUCAGUGGACAAGAACUAGACCCUGGACAGUGAAAAUACCCAUCCUGCUCUCACUGGGCUUUUAUGGAAUGUGUCCGACAAAACACAAGUAAACAGGAGUUCCCCGGUGGCUCAGUGGGUUAAGGACCUGAGUUGCUGUCCCUGCUGUGGCUCCAGAACUUUUGUAUGUCAGGGGUGUGGCCAAAAAAACCCAAGUAAACAAAGCAACUUUGAAUUCUUAUGGUGGCUCAGCAGGUUAGGAACCUGAUAUUGCGUUCAUGAGGAUGCAGGUUCGAUCGCUGGCCUCUCUCACUGGGUUAGAUCCAGCGUUGCCGCAACCUGUGGCAUAGGUCACAGAUGUGGCUUGGAUCUGGCGUUGCUGUGGCUGUGGUGUAGGCUGGCAGCUGCAGCUCCAAUUCAACCCCUAGCCUGGGAACUUCUAUAUGCUGCAGGUGCAGCUGUGAAAGAAAAAAGAAAAUGAAAAAAAACAAAACAAAAAAAAAAAAAAA
This 2000-nucleotide long non-coding RNA is filed under the name Sus scrofa (pig). RNAcentral describes it as "lncRNA (ENSSSCG00035061311.1)". The record is from RNAcentral. Lineage: Eukaryota; Metazoa; Chordata; Mammalia; Artiodactyla; Suidae.